RNAcentral lists this transfer RNA (72 nucleotides) under Danionella translucida. It matches the Rfam family "tRNA". From Rfam's summary of the family: Transfer RNA (tRNA) molecules are approximately 80 nucleotides in length. RNAcentral also lists the same sequence under 1 other name. Lineage: Eukaryota; Metazoa; Chordata; Actinopteri; Cypriniformes; Danionidae. The record is from Rfam by way of RNAcentral.
GGUUCUAUUGUGUAAUGGUUAGCACUCUACACUUUGAAUCCAGCGAUCCGAGUUCAAAUCUUGGUAGGACCU